CCUCCGUGCUAAACGUAAACAUCCGACAUGAAUUAAGUAUAUAUUUCAAAAGAAAAAUAAAGAAAAGAUGUAUAAAUGUACAACAGAAACAUAAUAAAUGGCAAACACAAGAAAAUACUGAGUUUUGUGGCAGAUAGAAGCAGCCUCAAAGGCUGUUUUUACUCCGUCACUCGUCAAUACCCGUAUCUCCCCGCCUGCGUCACGACUUGCUCUGCUGAAAUUACCGCACCAUAACCACGUCAUCUGCCCCAAUGAUCUACGGGCCGGAGAACCAGCGCAGAAAAGGAGUAAGUUUAAUUGGUCGCCAGAUGAAACGGUCUUCUUACAUCAAAUUCAAGAAAAAAUACGUAUAAUCAGAGGGUGUUAUGGGAAGAGCAUCACCCCUGAGGAUAAGAAGAGAGCGUGGACUGAAGUGGCGGAAGCUGUAACAAGUGCCUUCCCUGGGAGUGGACCCCGUACGCAGGAUGACUGUGAGAGGCGUUGGUACAACGUACAACAAAAAUCAAAGCCUUGCAUUGCCAAGUGCAAGAAUGAGCAGCGGCAGACUGAUACACACUUUAUCAGUAUUGCUAGAGACCAUCCCAGCACAUUGUUCAUUACUUGUGGAAAAGAUACCAUUAGCUGCUCCGGCAACAGCCACUGCUUCAAUAUCUGCUGGCCCUAUGACACCAGCCACUGUUUCAUCAUCUGCUGGCCCUAUGACACCAGCCACUGCUUCAUCAUCUGCUGGCCCUAUGACACCAGCCACUGUUUCAUCAUCUGCUGGCCCUAUGACACCAGCCACUGCUUCAUCAUCUGCUGGCCCAAUGACACCUGCCACUGCAAGGGAUGACAAUGAAGCUGCUCCACCAGUCACCACCUACUUCAUCGGAGUUAAGAGAUGCCUUUCAUAGGGCAGCAGUAUAAUUUUUUGAUGCUGGGGCUGAAUAUUACUGCCUCAAGGCUAUGAUUUUGUCACUUUUUUUUUUAUUACUGAGGAGGUUAGGGUGGAAGGGGUGAAAAAUAAUUUGUGCUGUUUUUCGACAGAAAUGAUUAGCAAAUUCAUUCAAAGCACAAAAUUUACUGGAAAAAAAAUUGUGUGCCAUUGUGAGUGGGUUCACUUGAGAUUGGGCUCCAAUACGCCUCCGUGGU
This is a long non-coding RNA of Eriocheir sinensis (Chinese mitten crab), 1131 nucleotides long. RefSeq lists it as uncharacterized. The record is from RefSeq and is a predicted model, not a curated record. The transcript is spliced from 3 exons. NCBI's taxonomy places the organism in Eukaryota, Metazoa, Arthropoda, Malacostraca, Decapoda, Varunidae.